This 840-nucleotide ribosomal RNA is filed under the name uncultured Bacteroidota bacterium. RNAcentral describes it as "bacterial SSU rRNA". It matches the Rfam family "Bacterial small subunit ribosomal RNA", at positions 58 to 903 of the family's 1533-position model. Lineage: Bacteria; Pseudomonadati; Bacteroidota. The record is from RNAcentral.
CAAGUCGAGGGGUAUAGUUCUUCGGAACUAGAGACCGGCGCACGGGUGCGGUAACGCGUAUGCAAUCUACCUUUUACAGAGGGAUAGCCCAGAGAAAUUUGGAUUAAUACCUCAUAGUAUCUUCGAGUGGCAUCACUUGAUUAUUAAAGUUCCAACGGUAAAAGAUGAGCAUGCGUCCCAUUAGCUAGAUGGUAAGGUAACGGCUUACCAUGGCAACGAUGGGUAGGGGUCCUGAGAGGGAGAUCCCCCACACUGGUACUGAGACACGGACCAGACUCCUACGGGAGGCAGCAGUGAGGAAUAUUGGUCAAUGGGCGCAAGCCUGAACCAGCCAUGCCGCGUGCAGGAUGACGGUCCUAUGGAUUGUAAACUGCUUUUAUACGAGAAGAAACACUCCUUCGUGAAGGAGCUUGACGGUAUCGUAAGAAUAAGGAUCGGCUAACUCCGUGCCAGCAGCCGCGGUAAUACGGAGGAUCCAAGCGUUAUCCGGAAUCAUUGGGUUUAAAGGGUCCGUAGGCGGUUAGAUAAGUCAGUGGCGAAAGCCCAUCGCUCAACGGUGGAACGGCCAUUGAUACUGUUUAACUUGAAUUAUUAGGAAGUAACUAGAAUAUGUAGUGUAGCGGUGAAAUGCUUAGAGAUUACAUGGAAUACCAAUUGCGAGGGCAGGUUACUACUAAUGGAUUGACGCUGAUGGACGAAAGCGUGGGUAGCGAACAGGAUUAGAUACCCUGGUAGUCCACGCCGUAAACGAUGGAUACUAGCUGUUGGGAGCAAUCUCAGUGGCUAAGCGAAAGUGAUAAGUAUCCCACCUGGGGAGUACGUUCGCAAGAAUGAAACUCA